AUACGGAGGAUGCGAGCGUUAUCCGGAUUUAUUGGGUUUAAAGGGUGCGUAGGCUGUGCUGCAAGUCAGUGGUGAAAGACCUGCGCUCAACGCAGGAAGUGCCAUUGAUACUGCAGUGCUGGAGUACCCCUGCCGUGGGAGGAAUGAGUGGUGUAGCGGUGAAAUGCAUAGAUAUCACUCAGAACACCGAUUGCGAAGGCAUCUCACGAAAGGGCAACUGACGCUGAGGCACGAAAGCGUGGGGAUCAAACAGGAUUAGAUACCCUGGUAGUCCACGCAGUAAACGAUGAUAACUAACCGCUGGGUCGUAGUGAUUCAGUGGCCAAGCGAAAGCGAUAAGUUAUCCACCUGGGGAGUACGUUCGCAAGAAUGAAACUCAAAUGAAUUGACGGGG
Molecule: ribosomal RNA, 394 nt
Filed under: uncultured bacterium
Lineage: Bacteria
Description: partial 16S ribosomal RNA
Rfam family: Bacterial small subunit ribosomal RNA
Source: RNAcentral